UUUGAAAGUUAGGAAACAUACUCAUCAUCCCUAAUUAUCUCUCAAGGCAUGAUCCUGGUGGCCUUCGCUUGCCUCAUGAUGAUGUUUCCGGUAAUCGAAGCGGAGCCGGUUACUAAGGAUUACUUGAACUACACCGAUUAAUGAAAGGAAUGGAGAGUUGUUGUUGCAACUUCAGUAAACUUUCGAUAAUUUUGAACAGUGAAACUGUCUGUAAGUUGAAAUAAAGCAAUAUCGAAUUAA
This is a long non-coding RNA of Penaeus monodon (black tiger shrimp), 240 nucleotides long. RefSeq lists it as uncharacterized. The transcript is spliced from 2 exons. NCBI's taxonomy places the organism in Eukaryota, Metazoa, Arthropoda, Malacostraca, Decapoda, Penaeidae. The record is from RefSeq and is a predicted model, not a curated record.